Camelus dromedarius (Arabian camel) is the source of this 14423-nucleotide long non-coding RNA. RefSeq lists it as uncharacterized. The transcript is spliced from 14 exons. The record is from RefSeq and is a predicted model, not a curated record. Lineage: Eukaryota; Metazoa; Chordata; Mammalia; Artiodactyla; Camelidae.
CAGGUGGAAGACGCCGUUUGCGCAGCCUGCAGAGGAGGUUUGCCCAGCCUGCGGACAAGGAUUGUUCAGCCUGUCGACAAGGACACAGAGAAAGCUUUCUUGGAGGGAAUCGACAAAACUGGAAGAAAAGGAAAGAGCACGCUGCUCUUGCAGAGGCUGCAAAAAGACAGCGUCUUGGGCUAGCAAGCUUCGUGGAAGGGAUCUCUGUACUCCACACUUUGUCUACUGUGUCCUCAUCCACGCUCACCACCCGCCACCCCUUGCUGCUGGCAAUCCCCGUGCAUCCCAGGCGCUGAAGGAGUGAGGUGUGCGAUGAGCCUCGAUGAAGGUGGAACAGGGUCUGGUCCAGGGCCACCGUUAGCCAGGACACAGCUUCUCCUUGUUGGUGAAGUACAGCUACACGCAUUCAGUGGCCCUAAAACUAAAAAAUACCAGCAGCAGUCCUUCGCAUGUGGAGUGCAUACUUGAGUCCCCGGCGGCCUCUCCCACUUGCUCCCCUUCCCUUCCAGGCCGCUUGCUUCAAGCAGCAUGACAAUCUGCAGAUCCAUCCGUGUUGCUGCAGAUGGCAUUUCAUUUUUUGUGGCUGAAUAGUAUUCCAGCAUGUGUGUGUUUAUGUAUCUGUAUGCGUGUGUGUGUGUAUGUGUACAUACAUACAUGUAUGUACACACAAACAACUUCUGUAUCCAGUCCUAUCAUUGGACAUUUAGGCUGCUUUGGCGUCUUGGCUGUUGUACAUAGAUCAGCUCUACCUUUUAUUGGCUGUUUAACACUGGACAACCUCUCUGAUUCUCUAACUCCAACUCCAUUUGCCUAAUGACGCCUACUUCAGAGUGCCACAGGAAAGAUGGCAGGGAUGAUGUCCAGUUUUGGGGGCAUGUCUGGCUAGAAGUAAAUGCUCAGAAGUGUUAGUUCCUUCCUCCUUCCUUCCUGCCUUGCUCCAGGCUCUAGGGACUACAGGCUAGACCUCCCAUUCUGGAUUUCUCUCAGUUUCGGAAGGCCAUGCUCCCAUUCUGGUCUUAUGCAGACAGAGUGGCCUGGAGCCAUUCAAGGUGUAAAAGGGUCGUUUGUCCCAGGGACCUCCCUCCUUCCCAUCCUGCAGGUUAGAGAACAUCUCACGGAGCUGGAGGUACAAACCGACGCACUGUGAAGGACUGUCAGUGCAGGAGGACCGAGGAUCGGUUCUCUGGGGCCAGAAGUACCUGGUGCAGCUAAACUGAACGUAGUGCUUCCCUAGCCCUUCGGUUUCACUCCCCGUGUUUUUCAGGGUAUGAAGUACAGAAAGGGGCACUUUUUAAAUACUCAUUGUGGGCUUAGUCUGGAAAAUGCAGUUGUUAGGUCGGAGAAACGCCCUCUGAAUCUGAGAUGCCACGUUAAAGUCUCCUGUAACUUACAUUUGCAGUGAACUACAGUUUCUUUGUGUACAGAAACACAGGAAAAUCUGUCACGGAGACUUUCUCCUAGUAAGUGCCAUUUCAAUAGAAUGCCCGAAGCUCAGGAGGAGUAGCACUCCAAGGAAUUUUUUUUCCCAUAAAUGGAAAGUUUAUACGGAACCACACUUGGCAGGGAAUUCAAAAGCCAUUGUAGUUAGGUAGAAAAUGGGAAAUACCUAUUUCUAUAUCUAUUAUAAUCUUGACUCAAAAUCUAACAUCAGUGACUGCACCCAGCACCCACCCAGCAGGCCACCCGACUGGGAGACAGACCCACAGACUCUACUUUGGCAAAUUCUACUUUAUAAAGCACAGUUUUCCAAGCGCCUGACACACACCUGGUAAGAGGACAUGGUUGGGUAGGAGACCAUCACGCUCUGCACGGGAGCCCCCUGUGGGCUGCUCAGCACGCCCUGACUGGGAGGUGACUGCUGCACCCCCACGAGGCCUUGGAACCCCUGCUGACCAGACAGCACCGGCUGGUAACCUGUGAAGAGAAAAGCACCUUUUGAACUGGUUGUGCCAAGAAGAAUGAAGACAGUAUCGUUUGGGAGAUUUCCAAACAGCCUGUCAACGUAGGACGCAUUCUAUUUCCGAGGCCCUACUGAACAGUCUCCUGAGGACAUUCUGGCAAAACACUCCACUAAACGACCAUGGCCAUAUACUAGAUAAUACAGAAUACAGCAGUUAAAGACUGUGUCUGUUCAUUUCCAUCCAGUGGGCCAACUGAAAUACUGCGGAACCAAGGCCGGCGAAUAGUCACUGAAUUAGAGCAGACCAAGAGUGGGGACUAGCCCCGUGGGGAAGCCCGCCCGUGCCCGCACUGAUACCCCACUCUAAUUCAUGUAUCCACUGACCCUGAAAAAUGGCUGUUGCUGUUUUACCGUUACGAAGACAUUUUUUUCUGGGCACGUCCAAUUCACUGGCGCAAGAACUGUUACGUACGUAAGAAAAUACCUCGGUCUGAAUGCACGUGCCCGACAGCCCUCCUCCCCGCUUCCUGGGGGGCAGCAGAGAGCAGGCGUGUGAGCACACUCUCACGUCUGUGCAUUGGACAACAGAAGGGAGCCUUAUUUCUGGCUGAAGAUUCAAGUUAAAACAAUGAAGGAGAGAGGACAAGAGUUAUGACCCACAGUCUGUUGAACAAGAUCUUGCUAGUGUUGAAGAACAAAAGAAAAUUGAAGCUACUAGGACCAUUUAAAACAAUGGCCCUCCACACAAUUGUUGAAGACCGUCUAUACUCCGGAUUGUUUUCUCAACGUGCUCUCCAAAUACCACGUUAAAGAAAUACUUACCUGCACAGGAAAUGUAACAUCAGUUCUGUUACGUGACUGCAGAAGGCAACCGGCUGCCCCCACCCCGGGAAAGUCAGUGGGCCUUUGGAGACAAAAAGAGCCUUGAUGGUAGGUGAAAGAAGACAUACAGAAACUGCAAAGCCACCUGGCCUGUCACGUAGAGGCCUGGAGAAGUCACGACCCCCUGGCCACUGAGAGAUGGCUGUACUCUGGGAGUUCAGAGACUGCGCUCAUCAUCUUGCUAAUUCUGUGAACACCAUGGAUUCGUUCCCCAGCUUACGGCUUUACGAGGGCAGUGUCUCUGCGACAGGGGGCCUCUCUGGCUUCAUCUGCCUGCAGCACCUCAGCGCUCCCAGGAGCGCUGGCGGCGGGGAGUAGAUACGCUGUAUGAUGUCACAGUGUCUCUGGCUUCCUGGAAGAGGUACCACCCACCAGACGUUUCAGAGAAGCGGACUCGGGAUGCUGGAUGCCCUCAUGUGGAGGGCAGACACCCGGACAGCUCCACAGGCACAGAGGCCUCCCAGAGCCCGGGGGUCCGCGGCCCCAAGGCAGGCCCCCGACUCCUGGGCCUUCACACGCUGUCCUCCUGCUCCUCGGAGCUGGCUCCCAGAGUGGAGGUUAAGUGGGGUCAGCUCUGAAAAGCAAGGGCAAACAUGAGAGACACCGUUAAAUGACUACAGGAAUGGAUCAUGCACAGAAUUUCAAUGAAUGCCUCUGAGGGACACCAGCACUGAAUUCCAUUUUAAAUGGAAGAGGCUGUCAUAUUAUUGAAGUAAUUCUCUGAACUUUCCUGGCCCCGAGUGCUGUGCUGACAGCCAGAGAGCUUCCACAACCCAGAGGGAGAAGAGCUGCAUGAAAGACUCACAGGCUUUCUACCUUCCUAAUGAGGCUGUGUGGUUUGGAGGACCAGGUGGCAUUCUCGCGUGUCUGCACCUCUUCCGGUGUUAAUUACGGACACACUUACCCGGGGCCGGGUGGCAGCAAACUGUUGUUGAGGCACCUGGAGGUGUUCUUUCCCUGGACUAAGGUGGGGGCAAAGUCAAGACGGAGCUGACGCUUUUAAUUCCCCACAGUCACACUCCCUCUGAUGGAUGAUUUCAGUGACACAAUGCUUUUGAUCUGCUGCUAGAACAGGAUAAUCAUGAGGUCAGAAGUCACGGGGUCGAGAUUUCUGGUCAAGAUGGCAGAGCAGUAGGACCAUGAGCUCGUCUCUCCCCUUGUGACUGCGACAAAACCACAACUGACUGUUAAACAACCAUGGGAAGAAAAAGACUGGAACCUAGCAAAAAAGAUCCUCUUGAACUGGAAACAUAAAGAGGGAACCACAGUGGAACAGCAGGAGAGGUGCGCUUGUGAUAUAACCGGGCCCCAUUCCCCCCGGGUGGGCGACCCACAAGCUGAAGAGUAUUGAGGUCACAGAGGCCUCCCACAGGAGAGCGCUGAGCCCCCAGUCAGGCUCCCCAGCCCAGGGGAGCAUUGGGAGGGGAGACCCCGGAACAGCUGGUUUUGAAGGCCAGGGGGCCUUAGCUCUAGGAGCCCCACUGGACUUGGGGGAACAGAAUUCAUUCUCUGAGGAAGUGCACACACCAUCUCACGCGUGCCAGGUCUAAGGGCAGAGGCAGUGAUUUUAUAGGUACCUGGGCCAGAAAUGCCAGCUGGUUUUGUGAAGUCUCCUGGGGAGGUAGGGGACGGCUGUGGCUCACCCAGGGGACAUAAAAGCUGGUGGCAGACAUUCCGAGUGUGUUCAUCUACAUGAGCUUUCCUGGAGGCUGACAUCUUGCUUGGGUCAUUAGCGCCAGGACCUAGCCCCAUCCAACAGCCUGUAGGCUUAAGGGCUGGGAAACCUCAGGCCAAACAACAUACUGGGUGGGAACACAGCCCCCCCCCCCCCCCAUCAGCAGACUUCCUGAGCCACAAACGCCUCUAGACACACCCCAACUCCUCCUGCCAGGAAACCUGCACAAGCCUCUAGUCCAGCCUCACCCACCAGGGGGAAGAUACCAGAAAUAAGAAAACAGCCACCCCACAGCCUGUGGAAUUACCCACAAACACAGGCCUGACUCUGCCCUGGCCCUUGGGUGACAAGAGGGGAGUGUAUGUACUGCUGGGACACACAGGGCAUCUCUCACAAGAGGGCCACUUCUCCACAAGGUUGAGAAGUGGAACUGACCUACCUAGAAAUACAGAUAGGAAGUUAGACAAGAUGAGGCACAGAGGAACAUCUCCCAGGCCGAGGCACAAGAUAAAAUCCCGGAAGAGGAAAUGAGGGAUGAGGAGGCAAGCCCUCUGUCUGAGAGAGAGAGAGUGUAGAGUUAUGAUGGUGAAGAUGUUAAGAGAACUCAGGAGGAGCAGAUACACACAGAGUAAAGUUUUUAGCAAAGAGUUGAAAAACAUAAAUAAUACCCAGAGUUGAGGAGUAAAAUUACUGAAAUGAGUAACACAGUAGAAGAAACCAAGAAUAGACUAAAUGAGGCAGAAGAACAGAUCAAUGAGCUCGAAGACAGAUUAGUGGAAAUAACUACUGCAGAACAGAAAAAAGAAUAAAAAGAAAUGAGGAUAGUUUAAGAGAACUCUGGGAUGUCAUGAAAGACACUAAUACUCAUUACAGGGGUCCCAGAAAGAGGAGAGAGGGACAAAGGGCUUGAGAAAAGUUUUGAAGAGGUAAUAACCUUGGGAAAGGAAAGUGUCACCCAAGUCCAGGAAGUGCAGAGAGUCCCACACAGGCUCAGCCCAAAGAGGAGCACACCAAGGUCCACAGUAAUCAGAUUUACAGGUCUUAGGGAAAAACACUAAAAUCAGCAAGAAAAAGCAACAAAUAACAUACAAGGGAACUCUCCAUAAGGUUGGUUAUCAGCUGAUUUUUCAGAAACUACAGGCCAGAAGGGAGGGAGGGGCACAAUACACUUAAAGUGAUAAAAAGGAGAAACUUAUAACCAAGAAUACUUUUCCCAGCAAGCCUCUUGCGUAGACUUCAUGGAGAAAUCAAAAGCUUCACAGAUAAACAAAAGGUGAAAGAAUUCAACACUACCAAACCAGCUUUACAACACAUGUUUAAGGAAAUUCACUAGUCAUCAAACCACAAGAAGAGAGAACGAAAAGAAGAGAAAAAGACCUACAAAAACAAACCCAGAACAAUUUUUUAAAUGGCAAUAAGAAUAUACAUCAUAAUAAUUACCUUAAAUGUAAAUGGAGUAAAUGAUCCAAACAAAAGACACAGACUAGCUGAAUGGCUACAAAAAGAAGACCCAGUAUCUGCUGUCUACAGGAGACCCACCUCAGAGGCAGAGACACAUGCAGGCUGCAAGUGAGGCGAUGGAAAAAGAUACUCCACGCAGACAGAAGCCUGAGGAAAGCUAGUAGCAAUACUUACAUCAGACAAAACAAUUUGAAGACUGUUACGAGAGACAGAGGAGGACACUACAUAAUGUUCAAGGGACCAAUCCAAGAAGAGGAUAUAACCAUUGUAAAUAUAUAUGCACCCAACAGAGGAGCACCUCACUAUAAUAGGCAAGUGUUAACAGACAUAAAAGGAGAAAUUGACAGUAACAGUGGGGACCUUAACACCCCACUCCCAUCAGACAGAGCAUUCAGUCAGUCAGUCAGUCAAUAAGGAAAUACAGGCACAUUGGACCAGAUGGACUUAAUUGAGAUCUGUAGAACAUUCCAUCCUAAAGCAGCAGAACACACAUUCUUCUCAGGUGCACAUGGAACAUUCUCCAGAAUCAACCACAUGCUGGCCCACGAAGCCAGCCUCAGUGAGUGUAAGAAAACUGGAGUCAUACCAAGUGUCUUUUCCAGCCAUAAUGCUAAGGUUAGAAAUCAUCUACAAGAAAACAAUUGCAAAAACUGCAAACACAUGGUGGCUAAAUGAUAUGCUACUAAACCACCAACAGAUCACUGAAGAAAUCAAAGAGGAAACAAAAACUACUUUGAGAGAAAUGAAAACAAAAACGCAUCGAUCCAGAACCUCUGGGAUGCAGCAAAAGCAGUUCUAAGAUGGAUGUUUAUAGCAAUACAAGCUUACCUCAGGAAACGUGAAAAAUCUCAAGUAAACUACCCAACCUUAUACCUAAAGCAGCUAGAGACAGAAGAACAAACAAAACCUAAAGUUAGUAGCAGAAAUAAAUGAAAUAGAGACUAAAAAUACACCAAGAGAUCAAUGAAACUGUAAGCUGGUUCUUUGAAAAGAUAAACAAGACCGAUAAACCUUUAGUCAGAAUCAUCAAAAAAGGGGGGGGGGUCCAAAUCAAUAAAGAGAGAUUACAGCCGAUACCACAGAAAUACAAGGGAGCAUAAGAGGCUGCUAUGAGCAACUAUACACCAAGAAAAAGGACAACCUAGAAGAAAUGGACAAUUUCUUAGAAAGGUUCAAUCUGACAGGAGUGAACCAGGAAGAAAUAGACUGUGAAGACCAGUCACCAGAACUUAAAUUGAAUCCGCAAUCUAAAAACUCCCACCGAACAAAUGUCCAGGACCAGAUAGCAUCAAAGGUGAGUUCUACCACCAUUUAGAGAAGAGUUAACACCCACUCUGAAACUAUUCCAAGAAAUUGCAGAGGAAGGAACAUUUCCAAACUCAUUCUAUGAGGUCAUCAUUACCCUGAUACCAAAACCAGACAAAGAUGUCGCACACACAAAAAUUAUGGGCACACAUGAAUAUAGAGGGAAGUCGACUCCAACAGUGCAUUAAAGGGAUCAGACAUCAUGAUCAAGCAGGAUUUAUCCCAGGGAUGCACGGAGUUUUCAGCAUCUGCAGAUCAGUGUGAAACACCACAGUAACAAACUGAAGAGUAAAAACUGUAUGAUCAUUCCAAUAAAUGCAGAAAAAGCUUUUGAUAAAAUUCCGACAUUCAUUGAUGAAAACUUCAGAAAGUGGGCGGAGACAGAAUAUAUCUCAACAUAACAAAGGCCAUAUAUGACAAACCCACAGCUAACAUUAUACUUAACAGGGAAAAGCUGAAGGCAUUUCCUCUAAGAUCAGGAACAAGACGAGGAUGACCACUCUCACUUUUAUUUGCUAUGGUUUGGACCUCCAAAAUAAUAUUAAUCAGUCGGAGAAAAAAAAAAAAAAGAAAUGAAUCCAAAUUGGAAAGGAAGAAGUAAAGUGUCACUAUUUGCAGAUGACAUGACACUACACAUAGAAAACCCUAAAGAAGCGGCCAGAAAACUACUGUAACUCAUCAAUGAAUUUGGCAGAGUUGCAGGAUACAAAAUUAAUAUACAGAAAUUAGUUGCAUUUCUAUACACUAGCAGUUAAGUAGCAGAAAAAGAAAUUAAGGAAACAGUAACAUUUACCAUUGCACCAAAAAGAAUAAAAUACCUAGGAAUAAACCUACCCCAGGAGGCAAGAGACCUGUACUCUGAAAACUAAGACAUUGAUGAAAAAAACUGAAGACAACAUAAACAGAUGGAAAGAUAUACUGUGUUCUUAGAUUAGAAGAAUCAAUACUGUUAACAUGGCCAUACUACCGAGGCAAUGUGCAGACUCGGUGCAAUCCCUAUCAAAUUACCAAUGACACCUUUCACAGAGCUGGAACAAAAAAAAGUUAAAAUUUGGAUGGAGACACAAAAGACCCCGAAUAGCCAAAACAAUCCUAAAAAGAGGAAUGGAGCUGGGGGAAGUCAUGCUCCCUGACUUCAGACUAUACUGAAAACUACAGUGAUCAAAACAAACAGGAUAGAAAGCCCCCAAAUAAACCCACACACUUAUGGUCAAUUCAUCUCCGAUAAAGCGGGCAGGAAUACACCAUGGAGAAAAGACAGUCUCUUCAAUAAGUGGUGCUGGGAAAACUGGACCCCUAUCUGUUAAAGACCAAAAUUAGAACAUUCUCUAAUACCAUAUACAAAAAUAAACUCAAAAUGGAUUCAACUUAAUUUGUUUUAUAUUAAAGAUGUAUUUUUUUAAAUUGUUCUUAUUUGGGGUGGGGGAGGUAAUUAGGUUUAUUUUUUUAAUGGAGGUACUGGAGACUGAACCUAGGACCUGGUGCUUACUAGGCACAUACUCUACCACAGACUAUACCUUUAAAUGUAAGAUAGUAUAAAAUUCCUAGAGUAAAACAUGGGCAGAACACUCUUGGACAUAAAUCACAGCAAUAUAUUUUUGGAACGAGCUCCUGGAGUAAUGGAAAUAAAAGUGAAAAUAAACAAAUGGGACCUAAUUAAAAGCUUUUGCACAGUUAAGGAUACCAUCAACAGAACAAAAAGACAACCUACAGGAUGGGACAGAAUAGUUGGAAAUGAUGCAACAGACAAGGGACUAAUUUCCAAAAUACACAAACAACUCAUACACCUUAAUAUCAAAAAACAAGCAACCCAAUCAACAAAUGGGCAGAAGAACUAAACAGACACCUCUCCAAAGAAGACAUACAGAUGGCUAACAAGCAGAUGAAAAGAUGCUCAACAUCACUGAUUGUUAGAGAAAUGCAAAUCAAAACUACAAUGAGGUAUCACCUCACAACAGUCAGAAUGGCCAUCAUUCAAAGGACUACAAAUGAUAAAUGCUGGAGAGGCUGUGGAGCAAAAGGAAACCUCCUACACCGUUGGUGGGAAUGUAAAUUAGUGCAGUCACUUUGGAGGACAGUGUGGCAGUUCCUUAAAAAAACUAAAAAUAGACUUCCCAUAUGAUCCAGCAAUCCCCCUCCUGGGCAUAUAUCUGGAGAAAAAUCUAAUUCAGAAAGACAUUUACACCCCAGUGUUCACAGCAGCACUAUUUACAAUAGCCAAGACAUGGAAACAACCCAUAUGUCUAUCAACAGAUGACUGGUUAAAUAAGGUGUGGUAUGUUUAUACAAUGGAAUACUACUCAGCCAUAAAAAAGAAUACAAUAAUGCUAUUUGCAGCAACAUGGAUGGACCCAGAGAUCAUCAUUCUAAGUGAAGUGAGCCAGAAAGAGAAAGAAAAAUACAUAUUACUCCUAUGUGGAAUCUUAAAUAAAAAAAGAAAAACUAACUUACCAAAUAAACAGACUCACAGACAUAAAAGACAAACUUGUGGUUACCAGGGGUGGGGGUGGGGAAGGUAUAGAUUGGGAGUUAGAGAUUUGCUGAUACCAACUAAUAUAUAUAAAAUAGAUAAACAAGUUCAGACUGUAUAGCACAGGGAGCUAUAUUCAAUAUCUUGUAGUAACAUGGUGAAAAGGAAUAUGAAAAUGAAUAUAUGAAUGUCUAUGUAUCACUAGCAGUAUGCUGUACACGAGAAGUUCACACAUUGUUAACUGACUGUACUUCAAGUAAAAAACACACACACACACACAACAAACGUCGUAUAAACGGAUGAUUCUACCCAUAACCAAUGUUUUCUAAGAAAAUUUGGGGAUAAACAUUAGUAAAGUUUUCACUAUAGACUUUAGGAAACAUUACUUCUAAUUCCCAGUUAUUCUGUCUCUUCAUCAAUAUUCCAGCAGGUCCCCCCACAGUAAAGUCUGGGCACCCGAUAAUAUCACAACUCCAAGUAACAAAGAGAUAACUUCCUGUUCAUCUACAUAAUCAAAUUCUGAUUAUCCUUGCUAACAGCAACAAGGACAGUCUUUAAUAUCACCACGUGGAGGACUGUUAUUUAAAAGCUUGGCUUUUAUCUGGAUUGAGACAACAGUUAGAAAUCUUCAGCCCUGGCCACACAAAGACAAACGUGCUUCCCUUUUCAGCUGCUGGGAUGGGAGGGUAUGGUCACACUGAAAUCCUACUGCACAGCAAUGAAAGUGAAAAAUAAACUUGAAGAACAAGAGGUCUGUUGUGAAAACUUUCAGUCACGCCUCGAAGGCAGGCUGUCUCCACCAUGACAAAGCAGUUUCCUUUUUUUAAUGGCCUGCUCCAGGGUAGGAAGAGAGAUGACUCAGAUCAUUUGCUGCCGGCUCCCCUCCCCCCAAGGCAGGCCAGAGUAACAACCCUUUCAUCAUGGUGAAACGCUUCAUCAGCACCCAGCAGAGCAGGAGCCGUCUAAGACAGUCACAGCCUUUGUUGCCUGCUGUCUUCCACUUGAUGAGCUGAUGCAAACACACUGGGUCAAGGAGAACCAGCUGAGGAGCUGAGUUCUGUCCUUGGCGGGACACCAGGCUACUCUUAGAAGGACCGAAGGACUGAGAGGGUGCUCAGCCAGGCCCAUGCUUCCCAAUGAGGUUAGCAUGCUGCCUUCUCACAGCUUUGGAUUCUCGAGGUUCCUGCCGCUCAGUCCUGCCUCAUUAUCUCGCUCCACCUCUGAGUGCCUGCUUCCCGCCCUGCGGGGACGACUCCCCCUGGUCUAUGGUUUGCAACAUUUUCCUGUCUCUGAAUAAGCUGGUUAUGUAAACCAGUGAAAAGACAUGGCUAGGUUCCAACCCCCAGGGGUUCUCAUUCGGUAGGCCUGGGUGGAGCCUGAGAAUGUGCCUUCCUGACAAGUUCCCAGGGGAGGCUGAUGCUGCGGGUUUGGGGACCACACUGGAAUCACUACCAGGCCUCGGCUCUCUAGAAACCUUCUUCCUGGAUCCUUCUCGUUUAAUUCACUUCAUAGAGUGGGUGAUGGGAUCUGGCACCUCACACCCUCUGGGGGGCCAUCUCUCCCCCUCUGACUUCAUUUUCCUUAUCUGUAAAAUGGGGACAAUCCUUUCCUUAAGAGGUGUCAGUCCUAAGACCCCUCUUGUAAGACACAUCCCAGGGACUGAGUAUCUGGCAACGACCAGUGUGCCUGGCUGCCCUUUCUUUGCCCUCCCCUUGCACUUUCCACCUAGUAUGAACUUGACUUAAAUUGUAUUACUCAUUGAGGUCCUGCCUCCCAGAUUAGAUUAUAAUUUGGAAAAGGAUGUGAAUCUUAAGCAUCUCGGCUCUAGCCCCGAAUUCUACGUUCAACGCCUCAAGGACAUUUAUUGAUGAUGUUGAUAAAGAAACCACCCUCACUGCACUCACCCUAAAUGACUCCCACAGUGCCACAUAAUGGAAAACAAGCCAACAAGCAAAAAGCCUGAAGGAAAAGAAUGAAGAAGCAAUGGACUCAGAACAGAGAGCCCUGAUCCCUGCUGAGGCACGCAAGGUGGCCAAAGGGAAAUAAUUUAUAACCAUCACAGCAGAAUAAAGACAAAGCUGACCAGAUGCCAACUAUUCUCUUACCCCUUUGCCUCUGGAAAAUAGGAAUUAUUUCCUGCAGCAAAUCAAGAAGGCCCAGCACAGUCUUCUAAUUCCAUCUGAUGCUAUGGGGAGGAUGGACGCAGGGACAGGCCCCAAAAAGGAAAGGAGGAAAUGCGGGGUGGGGCUUGAAAGCGGGGUGGGAGGGGAAGAAAAUGCACCCGAGACGUCCUCUGGCAUUCUCAGAUCUAUCUGUUAGCACUUGGCGAGGCACCUGGGAAACCAAACCGGAUUUCUGCAGCCUCGUAUCUUUUGGACGUAACUGCGAGUUUGCUGACUGAUGCUGAUGCUCCCUUGCAACUGUUCCUCCAUCUUCAUCUGGCAUAAAAGAACAGCAGACAGGAAGCCUGGACCUUCUGUCUUCCCCUCAUCCAGAAUACAGCUGAGUUCCUUCAUUUUCUGUCUCUCCUUGGACCCCCUAAGCCUGCAGCCAUGCAGCCUGAGUGGACAAUGGACAUGGAAGUCUCCUGGGCCGGCAAGCUCUGGGUGAGGAAGCUGAGGUUCAGACAGCUAAGAAGGCACCUGCAGGAUCCCACACAGAAUUUCUCAUCGACUGGGGACUACAUCCCAUUUCCCUGUUAGUCACUUUGCCAGCAUCCAUGCUAUAGUGCUUCCUCAAAAUAAGACAGACGGACUAAGAAUAUUUUUGUUUCCCAACCACACGUGUCAGCUCUGCCGCUGUUACAUUACCACCACGAGCUUGGAGGAUAUGCCUUGUGUAUUUAAACUGGAGCUCACAAACCUGUUUCCAGUAGCUCCCAGCAGACCUUUCUGAGAUAAAACAUGGGAGGGCGUCAGGCGGAAAGAAAAUAAAAGUCUGGAGAUUCAAGGGACUUAUCAUGAGUUGCAAAAAAAACAGCAUCAAAUCAUCUCUUUUGAAAUCAUCAGCCCGAUUGCACCCCAGUGUUGAGAUACAGAUAUCAGCAGUCAGUCACUGACAGGCAGCAUUCCCAGGAGGUCAUGCAGUGGAACUGUACCUUAAACGAAGAACAAACUGGGCGUUGAUAAUACCAGGAAGGACCCCAAAUGACAAGAGAAGUUCCUGGGACCACUCCCUCCAGCUGACAAGGUUCAGGCUCCAGUAGCGCACGUUGCCUGUGAGCCCAGCGUGGUCAUGCAACACCGUCCACGCGGACACGACCGUGGGGGACACGACUGUGGGUGCUGCAGUGGCGGUGCUCUUCUGACCUUGGUUUAUAUGCAAAGUCUGAUCUCGUGUAGCGAAAGGCAGCAGAAGCAGCUCUGAACAUGAGCGAGGCACAGCGCCCAGUGCAGCAGGGGUGGGAGAGGCCAGCUGGUCGCACCUGGGGAGCGCGCACCCAGGCAGGGGCCAUUUGGAAAGGCAGGCAGGUCCAGGCGCCCAGCAUGGGCGGAACACCGAUUCCUGGGUUGUAACUCUAAGACAGCCAAGUAGAGGCUCUGCUUCGCCUUUAUCACCGAAGACUCAGAGAAAGGCGAGGCCUCUUUCUGUUCCCAUGUAAGCAACAGACCUGGUCCCCUGCUCUGUCUUGUCUCUUAAUCAAAGCUGUGCUCACCCUGCCAGGGGCUGCGUCAUGGGACUCAGAACAAAGAGCUCCCCUUCAUCUAACGCUGUCUCAGAGCAAAGGGGGCUGAGGGAACCCUGGGUUCACGCAGAUGCCUUUCCAUCUUCUCCUGGUGACUUACUGGACGGAGCCCCUCGCAUCACGUCACAGAUGGAUAAAAGCAGCGGUGCCCUCUCAGCUCCCGGGGGUGGCUGCUCUCCCUGGGGACCCACCUCCCGCCGCCUCAGGCUGUCACAGCGCAUCCCAGCACCCAGACCUCCUGAGAUGCUUGCCGAACGACAGACACCCUUCCACUUUAUGAAUGUUUCUAACCUAACCAUUUUGUACUAUCUUUUUGUGCUCAAUGAUUAAGUGAGUGAUUUUAGGAGAAAAGUCUAUUUCCAAUGAACGUAUUACUGAUUGUGUUACAGUUCUCUUUCAAGUGCAGUAUUUAAUAGCCCUCAUGAUUUAUCUGGACCAGUUUUACUUUGCCCCAUUUAACAAGUGACCCAUGAUGUUUCAUUGCUUCCUAUUUAAUGAUGUAAGUAAAAAAAAAUUAUGGUUUGUGAACAAGUGUCUUUGAAAAUGUUGAGCUUGGGGACUAAACGAAUAAUAAAAUGGGCAUUUCAGUGAAAGGCAUGUUAAAGUAUCAAAGUGGGGAGGGAGGAAGAGGGUACAGCUCAGUGGAAGAGCACAUGCUUAGCUUGCACAAAGUCCUGGAAUCAAUCCCCAGUCCCUCUACUUAAAAAACAAUUUACCAAACUAGAUUUUUUAAAAAUGAUUUUUGACUUGAUGUUUGGAAAUGCUCCACUUCAUGCAUUAGCAAUCAACUGGCUAGUUUUGAUGAUUUUCGUGUUUUGUUUCCAAUUGAUGAGGUAAGACAGAAGGAUCCCUGCAAACACGUACCCACACAGAACCCACGGUUGGUGACAGACAGCCUUGACUCUUCCUAAACAAACAAACCAAAUUGGAUAUAAAUGUCAUUAUUUUCCUCUCUCAAACUUUGGAGUGUAUUUAUUUAUUUAUUCCUAAUCAUCAAUUUUAUUUAAUAUAUAUUGUCCAAAGGGACACAGAAUAAAGGUUAAAA